This 488-nucleotide ribosomal RNA is filed under the name uncultured bacterium. RNAcentral's name for it is "bacterial SSU rRNA". It matches the Rfam family "Bacterial small subunit ribosomal RNA", at positions 21 to 507 of the family's 1533-position model. The record is from RNAcentral.
GGCUCAGAUUGAACGCUGGCGGCAUGCCUUACACAUGCAAGUCGAACGGCAGCGGGCCUUCGGGUGCCGGCGAGUGGCGAACGGGUGGGUAAUGCAUCGGAACGUGCCAUUGAGUGGGGAUAACGUAGCGAAAGUUGCGCUAAUACCGCAUAUUCUGUGAGCAGGAAAGCAGGGGACCGCAAGGCCUUGCGCUCUUUGAGCGGCCGAUGUCAGAUUAGCUAGUUGGUGAGGUAAAGGCCUACCAAGCCUUCGAUCUGUAGCUGGUCUGAGAGGACGACCAGCCACACUGGAACUGAGACACGGUCCAGACUCCUACGGGAGGCAGCAGUGGGGAAUUUUGGACAAUGGGCGCAAGCCUGAUCCAGCAAUGCCGCGUGCAGGAUGAAGGCCUUCGGGUUGUAAACUGCUUUUGUACGGAACGAAACGGCUCUUUCUAAUAAAGGGAGCUAAUGACGGUACCGUAAGAAUAAGCACCGGCUAACUACGUG